Molecule: long non-coding RNA, 2832 nt
Organism: Panicum virgatum (switchgrass)
Lineage: Eukaryota; Viridiplantae; Streptophyta; Magnoliopsida; Poales; Poaceae
Exons: 4
Source: RefSeq, a predicted model, not a curated record
UGCAGUCGCCGUCCGGAGUGAGGUGGCUCCCUGCAAUUUGCCAGGCCCCCUCGUUCCCCGAAACCCAUCGCCGGCGCCGGCCACGGCCAGGACGCACGGGGCCUUCAGCCUUGCAACCCAGAUUUACUGGAGACUCCAAAUGGUUUCGUCGAGGAGGGGGAGGCGCCCAGCCGAGCCGAGGCCAUAAAUCUGAAUCUGAAAGACUGUAAAAGACUGAUUCCUGUCCAGGAGCAUGAUCACUGGCGAAUGGAUUAAUGGAAGAAGGAAGAUGUGCAGCAUGUGCUUUUUGAGGAUCUAUCUAAUCAGGCAGCUGGUAUACAAGAUCUCAGUUAGGAUAUGACCCAUUUAGUUGACUGCAACUAAUUGGCAUAUUAGUUUGAUAAUCGUAGUUUUGCAUGCCAGGGAUCUUAAAAAGUUUUUUAAUUAUCAUAACAGCUUAUCUGUAGAAGACAAUACUAUUCUUUCUGUUUCGUUCAUCGUUUAAUCUUCACAAUUUAACUAAAUAGCUGCCUAAGGGGGGAAAACGAGCUAGGUAACUUUUUGCUACUAUCCUCUGAAGAGAAAAAGAUUGAAGCUGUUUUGGUUAAUAUUAAGUACCACUCAAAAACUUUUGCCUGACGUGCUCAGUUGGGUGUGAAUAGACAGUUAUUGUGGUCUUGCAAAUCAGUUGCCGAAAGUAGGAGAUUUCAUUGAAAAAGUGAUAAUUUAAUUGGAAAAGCUGCAUCAUGCAUGCCAUGAGACUGAAAUGCAGGCAUCAAUGAUAACUAUCCAUCAUGCGGUGAAGAACUGAAGAUGUACAUGAAGCUUGAAAGGCAUGUUUAGUUAUGAACCCAAAAGAAGAUUAUUUCUCUUACCCCAAAACAAUAGGUUCCAUCACAAGGAACAGUCGUUUCUUAGAAGAUAUGCCAAAGAAGUUAGAGCACCAUUACUUGGUCUUUAUUCACCAAGUAUGCUGCAAUGCUGUAUACUGAACAUAUUGCGGCGUCCCCAAAAAGAUGUAUGUCUACCAGAAGCUAAUGGCACCAAUCCUUUUGAUGUUAGUCUGUUUCGGAACAGGCUCCUUGUCCUAUUUGAAGGAAAACGUAGACCUUGUUGCAUGAACCUGUUCAUGUUUUUUCCAUUUGAAGCCGAGCGUCUUAUCACAGGUUUUCAGCAAUGCUCUAUUUAUUAUGCUAAUAACUACUGUUUUUGUUCGGUGACCCCCUCUUUUUCAGAACAACUGUUUAGGAUAGUCAGGACCAACCUUUAAACCUAAUAUUAGUGAAAGGCACAGUAUGCCAUUGUCUUUAUAUUACCAAUAUCACUGAUAAUAUGUUGAUUUUACAGAUCGCUUGUGUAAUACCAUCACAUGGUUCCCUACUUUCUCAUUCAGUUACUGGAGUAUGUCAUGGAAAUUAUGGUAUGGCAAGCCCGGUCGUCCUGGUAACAAUUCCAUCAGAUGAAAACGACUGACUGUCCGAUACACGGGAAGAUCACCUUCCAUCAACCACUAAUAAUUGGGGUAUGGAGGACCUGUCUCCCUGAAUUAACUCAAGAGACUGUAACUGUAUGGUUCAAAGUUCAGACCAGGGGCAUGGACGAGCGAGCAAGGACGGACACGCCCGCACGGCCGUCCCGGCCACCCGAGGGUCCCGUCCGGCAGCUACAGGGCGUCCUCGCCGUGUGCACGUGUGCAUGAACUUGUCCCCCUGGUGUUCCAUCACGCAUUCAUGCGCGCCGUGGCUGUUGCUGAUUGACUCGCUCGGUGCUUGUGGAGUCGGGACACGGGUGGCCCGAGCUGGCGCGGCCGGGCGGACACGGCACAUGUCUGCAGUUGGCGCCGCACUGUUCAUCAGGAGAUGGACUGCAACUCCUGAGAGGGUGGUGUGCUCCCAAGUCUCUCCCCCAACCGCAGCCGCUACAGUUGAGUUGAUGCAGAGUACUCGCUCGAAACUUUUGCUCGAGGCUUGGAUUGGAUCGCGCUGAUUAUAUGGGCGCUUCACCUGGUGUUCCAGCUCGGAUGCAGAGCAGAGAAGGUCAAUUUCUGGUGCAGGGUGGGAGACGCUGAUAAUUUGGUCAAGGUGUCUUGCAACAGGAGAUUUGGCUACAAACAGUGCUUGGAGAUAGAACCCAGUGACACGUAGGUUUGGUCAAACGCUGAAGAGGACACCAGCUGUGUGCAUACUGCAUAGCCUAGGCUUGUGCUGCAGCCUGCAUGCAGGCAAGCAGCUACAUGUCUGAUAUCUCUGACAGGGCACAGACAUCUUCAUGCACAGGCACCACACCAUCUGUACUAUGUACUCAAGAAGCAAGCAAACAUGGACCAAGCAAGGGAGUGACAGUGAUGGCCGCUGAGGUAUGCAAUGAAAUGCUUUUCUCUGGAGCAGCAAGCCCAAGCAGGGGAGGAGGCAUGCAAUGCAACUAGGGCAUAUUCUACUGCAAGCACUACGGCUAAACAUCACAUGAUCACCACCAUUUGGCAGAAGAAGAAAAAAGUAUGCGGGUGUGGGGCCCAUCCCCCUAAUGAUCCUUUUUAGCCCAGCACAGCAGGUGUUUGUGUCUCAUCUAGUGGGUGCUAGGAGGGGCUUAAGAUACUGCCUAGUGAUCUUGAGACAUGUGCUGCUGCUAAUGCUUCAUUAAAGGGUGAAUGGAUCUCAGUACACUGCUGCCGCUGCUGCCGCGAACACACUCACGAUUAGCUUUAAUAUGUUUCUUGUUUGCUUUGUUGUUGUGUUAGUAGUAAUAGGGUAGAUUAGUAGGGGGGCGGAUGAUGAUGCACUGCGAGCCUGCAACCUACGGCCACCAAAUAUUUUAUACGUUUUUUUUUGGCGCUAGCAUAUCUUUCAGUGAUCA